Cyprinus carpio (common carp) is the source of this 832-nucleotide long non-coding RNA. NCBI's taxonomy places the organism in Eukaryota, Metazoa, Chordata, Actinopteri, Cypriniformes, Cyprinidae. The record is from Ensembl.
UCCCCAUCGAUAACGACGUGCUCGUUCACCGGCGUGCCGCUUUCUCGAGCUCAAAAUCGUGGGCAUGUAUAUCCAGUGAAGAAGAAAUCAAAAUAAAAACAUCCAGUGUUCCUUGCAGUCAUAAAGCAGGCGGCCAGCGUCCUCUCCCCCUCGCUGGAUGGUGCUGCCAGGACCUGGGAAGGCACACGCGCAACCCUGCUGUCUUGGGUACCCGUCUAUUGCUCGUCCGAUUGACAGGUCUCUGAACAAAUCGCGUUUCGUUUCUGAAAUGGUUCAGCCAAUCAGCGGACGAGAGGAAGAAACGAAGCUCCAGCCAUAAUAAACAGGCCCUUGUUGCAUGUGGAAGCUAGCGCCAUUACGGCUACACGAUACUGUAAAAGAUAGCGAGAGUCUAUGGAGGCUUUGAGCCGAAAUGGAGAGCGAGGGGCCCCACUUACCCAGAGCUAUUACGCGAGACAUGCCAUCCAAUUAGCACCUGCCAUUGAAAGUGGGCUUGUUUACGAGACUGGAAAUCUUAAUCAAGUUGACUUGAUCAGUUUAGAGUGCACAGCUGUACAUUCCACACCUUUGACCUCAACUCUUAUGUGUUUGCUUAAGGAUAAAUGCUUCAUCUCAGCUGGCUCUCACAGCACUGGCAGUGUACUGAAGCAUGCAGCUUUUGAACCAAGACAUCGUACAGACUUCGGAUACUUCAAGAACAGAAACAGAUUAAGAAAUAAUUAUGAAACAUCCCACGUUUUCUGAAGACUGACUAUUUUGGAAACCAUUACAUGCUGCAUUUAAAACAUGGAGAAGAAGAAAAAAAAUAAAAAACUCUUGCAAAGGAAAGACA